CGCUCAGGUGCGAAAGCGUGGGGAGCAAACAGGAUUAGAUACCCUGGUAGUCCACGCUGUAAACGAUGUCUAUUUAGAGGUUGUGGUCUUGAACCGUGUCUUCUGGAGCUAACGCGUUAAAUCGACCGCCUGGGGAGUACGGCCGCAAGGUUAAAACUCAAAUGAAUUGACGGUGGCCCGCACAAGCGGUGGAGCAUGUGGUUUAAUUCGAUGCAACGCGAAGAACCUUACCUA
RNAcentral lists this ribosomal RNA (234 nucleotides) under Proteus mirabilis. RNAcentral's name for it is "partial 16S ribosomal RNA". It matches the Rfam family "Bacterial small subunit ribosomal RNA", at positions 744 to 977 of the family's 1533-position model. The record is from RNAcentral. Lineage: Bacteria; Pseudomonadati; Pseudomonadota; Gammaproteobacteria; Enterobacterales; Morganellaceae.